RNAcentral lists this long non-coding RNA (1308 nucleotides) under Oryctolagus cuniculus (rabbit). RNAcentral's name for it is "lncRNA (ENSOCUG00000031238.1)". Lineage: Eukaryota; Metazoa; Chordata; Mammalia; Lagomorpha; Leporidae. The record is from RNAcentral.
GCGUGGCUACAUUACGACUCUUGUGUCCCUUCCUCCACUGUCAGAGAAGUUUCAACUGGGGAGUGACGUGAUCAGACCUGUGCUGGUGACUGAAUAGCCAGGGAGAGGGUUCUGAGAACUCCUUCAUUAACUGGUUACGGCCUGGCCGCAGCACCUGCCAGAUCGCAUGGCUGCCUCUUCCCACAAGGUGGUAAAUGUAUGAAUGAGUCAAAUCCUACAGCUUCCAGAAUGACCUUGCGGGAAGUGUGGUGCAAGACAAGGAACAUUGUGCUCAUUCCAGGAGAGGGAAGCCCUUCACAUCAGACCUGGAGGAGGGAAGAGAAAGGCACUGAACUGACCAAGUCCCUUCUGUAUGCUGGACACGAGACACCUCUCUGCGGUGCCAAGAGGAAGGGUCCACCUUCCCAUGUCACAGGUCCCCAAGGUCACGGGGCUUCUUUGUCCUGUAGAUGAAGAACCAGAUAUUCCAUUCAUGUUAAAGUAUAACAGCUUUGAGAUAACAGAUUCAAGUGUGACUCCAAGUAGGCUGUGUAGUUGGAACAGCAAGCAAAUCGCUGAUCGUGAAAUUUCAGUUUUGCCUUCAAUCUAUUCUUGCUGCUGUGCGGAAAUAUCCAACUGCCUCCAAGCGCUUAGUUGAGAAAAAAUAAUCACCUCCUCCAAAGAGUGUCUGUGGAUUCUGCCACUUGGUUUCUGGGCCCCUGUAAGGCAGGUAGGGAUUGGCAGAGAGAACAAGUGUCUGUCUCCCGACAGGUGGAUGGCAUUUUAUGGGGUAUAGUAAGAGGAUUCUGUCAGGCAGCCAUGAUGGGACCUACAUUGUCUGGGUGUUUAUAUUUUGUGAGUAUGGGAAAUAGCAGAGUCCCUGGGCAGAGAGGAUGGCCACCAGGCAGGAGAAUUUGACAUCCUUCACAUGUGGGACAUGUACUGAGCAGCUGGGAGCAUCUUGGAACAUUAGGAUGAGUUGGUCACCCAACCCCAACCACAUACUGUCUGAUUCAGUAGGGCUAAGAAGGGGCUUGAGAAUUUGCAUUUCAGACAAUUCCUAGAAGAUGCUGAUGUGGCUAGGACUACACCGAGAGGACAAUAACCAACAUACUGCUCACUAUUAUUGUGAAUACUGAAUCACACGGCACUCUUAUUAGUAGUAUCCAUGACUUUGCCACCAAGAAAAAUUAUGUGUUUUUUCCUACUACAUUACACUUGUUUCUGGACUCGAAAUAUCAUUUACACUCAUUACAUGGAAAUUAUAGGUGUUACAGACAGCUGCUUCAUCUCAUUAUUUAAUGUGCUAAUAAAGACGCACAUAUAUAU